AGUGAACGCUGGCGGUAGGCCUAACACAUGCAAGUCGAACGGCAGCACAGUAAGAGCUUGCUCUUACGGGUGGCGAGUGGCGGACGGGUGAGGAAUACAUCGGAAUCUACUUUUUCGUGGGGGAUAACGUAGGGAAACUUACGCUAAUACCGCAUACGACCUACGGGUGAAAGCAGGGGAUCUUCGGACCUUGCGCGAUUGAAUGAGCCGAUGUCGGAUUAGCUAGUUGGCGGGGUAAAGGCCCACCAAGGCGACGAUCCGUAGCUGGUCUGAGAGGAUGAUCAGCCACACUGGAACUGAGACACGGUCCAGACUCCUACGGUAGGCAGCAGUGGGGAAUAUUGGACAAUGGGCGCAAGCCUGAUCCAGCCAUACCGCGUGGGUGAAGAAGGCCUUCGGGUUGUAAAGCCCUUUUGUUGGGAAAGAAAGGCAGCAGGUUAAUACCCCGCUGUUCUGACGGUACCCAAAGAAUAAGCACCGGCUAACUUCGUG
RNAcentral lists this ribosomal RNA (492 nucleotides) under uncultured bacterium. RNAcentral describes it as "partial 16S ribosomal RNA". It matches the Rfam family "Bacterial small subunit ribosomal RNA", at positions 29 to 507 of the family's 1533-position model. The record is from RNAcentral.